GACGAACGCUGGCGGCGUGCCUAAUACAUGCAAGUAGAACGCUGAAGGAGGAGCUUGCUUCUCUGGAUGAGUUGCGAACGGGUGAGUAACGCGUAGGUAACCUGCCUGGUAGCGGGGGAUAACCAUUGGAAACGAUAGCUAAUACCGCAUAACAGUAGAUGUUGCAUGACAUUUGCUUAAAAGGUGCAAUUGCAUCACUACCAGAUGGACCUGCGUUGUAUUAGCUAGUUGGUGGGGUAACGGCUCACCAAGGCGACGAUACAUAGCCGACCUGAGAGGGUGAUCGGCCACACUGGGACUGAGACACGGCCCAGACUCCUACGGGAGGCAGCAGUAGGGAAUCUUCGGCAAUGGACGGAAGUCUGACCGAGCAACGCCGCGUGAGUGAAGAAGGUUUUCGGAUCGUAAAGCUCUGUUGUAAGAGAAGAACGAGUGUGAGAGUGGAAAGUUCACACUGUGACGGUAUCUUACCAGAAAGGGACGGCUAACUACGUGCCAGCUGCCGCGGUAAUACGUAGGUCUCGAGCGUUGUCCUGAUUUAUUGGGCGAAAAGCGAGCGCAUGCUGUUAGAUAAGUCUGAAGUUAAAGGCUGUGGCUUAACCGUAGUACGCUUGUGUAAACUGUUUACUUUGAGGCCAAGAGGUGAGAUUGUAAUUGCUUGUGUUGCUGCUGAAUGCUUUGAUGUUUGUGGGUGACUUCGUGUGGGUGAGUGGCUGGCUGUGUUGUAUGUGAGAGUUGAGUGUGUGUGCGUGGGUUGUAUGUGUGAUUUUGUGCUGUUUAGUCUGGGUGAAUGUCCUGCUGUGUGUGCUCUCAUGUGUGCUGGGCUGCUGGCGUGUGUGCAAAUGAUGUGUGUUUGGUGUUGCUGGUUGUGUAUGUAUGGA
Molecule: ribosomal RNA, 881 nt
Filed under: uncultured Streptococcus sp.
Lineage: Bacteria; Bacillati; Bacillota; Bacilli; Lactobacillales; Streptococcaceae
Description: bacterial SSU rRNA
Rfam family: Bacterial small subunit ribosomal RNA (bases 1-777)
Source: RNAcentral